AGGACGAACGCUGGCGGCGUGCUUAACACAUGCAAGUCGAACGGUAAGGCCCUUCGGGUACACGAGUGGCGAACGGGUGAGUAACACGUGGGUGACCUACCUCGUACUUUGGGAUAAGCCUGGGAAACUGGGUCUAAUACCGAAUAUGACCGCGCAUCGCAUGGUGUGUGGUGGAAAGCUUUUGCGGUACGAGAUGGGCCCGCGGCCUAUCAGCUUGUUGGUGGGGUAAUGGCCUACCAAGGCGACGACGGGUAGCCGGCCUGAGAGGGCGACCGGCCACGACUGGGACUGAGACACGGCCCAGACUCCUACGGGAGGCAGCAGUGGGGAAUAUUGCACAAUGGGCGAAAGCCUGAUGCAGCGACGCCGCGUGAGGGAUGACGGCCUUCGGGUUGUAAACCUCUUUCAGCAGGGACGAAGCGAGAGUGACGGUACCUGCAGAAGAAGCACCGGCCAACUACGUGCCAGCAGCCGC
RNAcentral lists this ribosomal RNA (475 nucleotides) under uncultured bacterium. Its description in RNAcentral is "SSU rRNA". It matches the Rfam family "Bacterial small subunit ribosomal RNA", at positions 26 to 518 of the family's 1533-position model. The record is from RNAcentral.